Molecule: ribosomal RNA, 452 nt
Filed under: uncultured bacterium
Lineage: Bacteria
Description: bacterial SSU rRNA
Rfam family: Bacterial small subunit ribosomal RNA
Source: RNAcentral
AACGAACGCUGGCGGCAGGCCUAACACAUGCAAGUCGAACGCUCGUAGCAAUACGAGAGUGGCAGACGGGUGAGUAACACGUGGGAACCUUCCCUAUGGUUCGGAAUAGCUCAGGGAAACUUGAGGUAAUACCGGAUAAGCCCUUACGGGGAAAGAUUUAUCGCCAUUGGAUGGGCCCGCGUCGGAUUAGCUAGUUGGUGAGGUAACGGCUCACCAAGGCGACGAUCCGUAGCNGGUCUGAGAGGAUGAUCAGCCACACUGGGACUGAGACACGGCCCAGACUCCUACGGGAGGCAGCAGUGGGGAAUAUUGGACAAUGGGCGCAAGCCUGAUCCAGCCAUGCCGCGUGAGUGACGAAGGCCUUAGGGUUGUAAAGCUCUUUUGGCGGGGAAGAUAAUGACGGUACCCGCAGAAUAAGCUCCGGCUAACUUCGUGCCAGCCGCCGCAGUAAG